GGUUAAGCGACUAAGCGUACACGGUGGAUGCCCUGGCAGUCAGAGGCGAUGAAGGACGUGCUAAUCUGCGAUAAGCGUCGGUAAGGUGAUAUGAACCGUUAUAACCGGCGAUUUCCGAAUGGGGAAACCCAGUGUGAUUCGUCACACUAUCAUUAACUGAAUCCAUAGGUUAAUGAGGCGAACCGGGGGAACUGAAACAUCUAAGUACCCCGAGGAAAAGAAAUCAACCGAGAUUCCCCCAGUAGCGGCGAGCGAACGGGGAGCAGCCCAGAGCCUGAAUCAGUGUGUGUGUUAGUGGAAGCGUCUGGAAAGGCGUGCGAUACAGGGUGACAGCCCCGUACACAAAAAUGCACAUACUGUGAGCUCGAUGAGUAGGGCGGGACACGUGGUAUCCUGUCUGAAUAUGGGGGGACCAUCCUCCAAGGCUAAAUACUCCUGACUGACCGAUAGUGAACCAGUACCGUGAGGGAAAGGCGAAAAGAACCCCGGCGAGGGGAGUGAAAAAGAACCUGAAACCGUGUACGUACAAGCAGUGGGAGCACGCUUAGGCGUGUGACUGCGUACCUUUUGUAUAAUGGGUCAGCGACUUAUAUUCUGUAGCAAGGUUAACCGAAUAGGGGAGCCGAAGGGAAACCGAGUCUUAACUGGGCGUUAAGUUGCAGGGUAUAGACCCGAAACCCGGUGAUCUAGCCAUGGGCAGGUUGAAGGUUGGGUAACACUAACUGGAGGACCGAACCGACUAAUGUUGAAAAAUUAGCGGAUGACUUGUGGCUGGGGGUGAAAGGCCAAUCAAACCGGGAGAUAGCUGGUUCUCCCCGAAAGCUAUUUAGGUAGCGCCUCGUGAAUUCAUCUCCGGGGGUAGAGCACUGUUUCGGCAAGGGGGUCAUCCCGACUUACCAACCCGAUGCAAACUGCGAAUACCGGAGAAUGUUAUCACGGGAGACACACGGCGGGUGCUAACGUCCGUCGUGAAGAGGGAAACAACCCAGACCGCCAGCUAAGGUCCCAAAGUCAUGGUUAAGUGGGAAACGAUGUGGGAAGGCCCAGACAGCCAGGAUGUUGGCUUAGAAGCAGCCAUCAUUUAAAGAAAGCGUAAUAGCUCACUGGUCGAGUCGGCCUGCGCGGAAGAUGUAACGGGGCUAAACCAUGCACCGAAGCUGCGGCAGCGACGCUUAUGCGUUGUUGGGUAGGGGAGCGUUCUGUAAGCCUGUGAAGGUGUGCUGUGAGGUAUGCUGGAGGUAUCAGAAGUGCGAAUGCUGACAUAAGUAACGAUAAAGCGGGUGAAAAGCCCGCUCGCCGGAAGACCAAGGGUUCCUGUCCAACGUUAAUCGGGGCAGGGUGAGUCGACCCCUAAGGCGAGGCCGAAAGGCGUAGUCGAUGGGAAACAGGUUAAUAUUCCUGUACUUGGUGUUACUGCGAAGGGGGGACGGAGAAGGCUAUGUUGGCCGG
Molecule: ribosomal RNA, 1449 nt
Filed under: Shigella flexneri
Lineage: Bacteria; Pseudomonadati; Pseudomonadota; Gammaproteobacteria; Enterobacterales; Enterobacteriaceae
Description: partial 23S ribosomal RNA
Rfam family: Bacterial large subunit ribosomal RNA
Source: RNAcentral